GACGAACGCUGGCGGCGUGCUUAACACAUGCAAGUCGAACGGAAAGGCCCUGCUUUUGUGGGGUGCUCGAGUGGCGAACGGGUGAGUAACACGUGAGUAACCUGCCCUUGACUUUGGGAUAACUUCAGGAAACUGGGGCUAAUACCGGAUAGGAGCUCCUGCUGCAUGGUGGGGGUUGGAAAGUUUCGGCGGUUGGGGAUGGACUCGCGGCUUAUCAGCUUGUUGGUGGGGUAGUGGCGUACCAAGGCUUUGACGGGUAGCCGGCCUGAGAGGGUGACCGGCCACAUUGGGACUGAGAGACGGCCCAGACGCCUACGGGAGGCAGCAGUGGGGAAUAUUGCACAAUGGGCGGAAGCCUGAUGCGGCAACGCCGCGUGCGGGAUGACGUCCUUCGGGUUGUAAACCGCUUUCGCCUGUGACGAAGCGUGAGUGACGGUAAUGGGUAAAGAAGCACCGGCUAACUACGUG
Molecule: ribosomal RNA, 468 nt
Filed under: uncultured bacterium
Lineage: Bacteria
Description: partial 16S ribosomal RNA
Rfam family: Bacterial small subunit ribosomal RNA
Source: RNAcentral